Molecule: unclassified non-coding RNA, 390 nt
Filed under: soil metagenome
Description: partial contains 5.8S ribosomal RNA, internal transcribed spacer 2, and large subunit ribosomal RNA
Rfam family: 5.8S ribosomal RNA (bases 1-122)
Source: RNAcentral
GAUGAAGAACGUAGCGAAAUGCGAUACUUGGUGUGAAUGGCAGAAUCCCGUGAACCAUCGAGUCUUUGAACGCAAGUUGCGCCCGAAGCCAUUAGGCCGAGGGCACGCCUGCCUGGGCGUCACACGUCGUUGCCCCCCCAUCUACUCCUUCGGGAUUGCGGGGGGCGGAUGAUGGCCUCCCGUGCGCCUCGUCGCGCGGUUGGCAUAAAUGCCAAGUCCUCGGCGACGCACGCCACGACAAUCGGUGGUUGCGAAACCUCGGUUGCCCGUCGUGUGCGGUCGUCGCGCAUCGAGGGCUCGAAAAAAUUGUCGGGCUCCGGCUCGGCUUUCAACGCGACCCCAGGUCAGGCGGGGUUACCCGCUGAAUUUUAGCAUAUCAAUAACGGAGGA